GAUGAACGCGGCGGCGUGCCUAAUACAUGCAAGUAGAACGCUGAAGCUUGGUGCUUGCACCGAGCGGGUGAGUUGCGAACGGGUGAGUAACGCGUAGGUAACCUGCCUCUUAGCGGGGGAUAACUAUUGAAACGAUAGCUAAUACCGCAUAAAAGUCGACAUUGCAUGAUGUUGACUUGAAAGGUGCAAUUGCAUCACUAAGAGAUGGACCUGCGUUGUAUUAGCUAGUUGGUGAGGUAACGGCUCACCAAGGCGACGAUACAUAGCCGACCUGAGAGGGUGAUCGGCCACACUGGGACUGAGACACGGCCCAGACUCCUACGGGAGGCAGCAGUAGGGAAUCUUCGGCAAUGGGGGCAACCCUGACCGAGCAACGCCGCGUGAGUGAAGAAGGUUUUCGGAUCGUAAAGCUCUGUUGUAAGAGAAGAACGAGUGUGAGAGUGGAAAGUUCACACUGUGACGGUAACUUACCAGAAAGGGACGGCUAACUACGUGCCAGCAGCCGCGGUAAUACGUAGGUCCCGAGCGUUAUCCGGAUUUAUUGGGCGUAAAGCGAGCGCAGGCGGUUAGAUAAGUCUGAAGUUAAAGGCUGUGGCUUAACCAUAGUACGCUUUGGAAACUGUUUAACUUGAGUGCAGAAGGGGAGAGUGGAAUUCCAUGUGUAGCGGUGAAAUGCGUAGAUAUAUGGAGGAACACCGGUGGCGAAAGCGGCUCUCUGGUCUGUAACUGACGCUGAGGCUCGAAAGCGUGGGGAGCAAACAGG
RNAcentral lists this ribosomal RNA (763 nucleotides) under uncultured Streptococcus sp. RNAcentral's name for it is "bacterial SSU rRNA". It matches the Rfam family "Bacterial small subunit ribosomal RNA", at positions 28 to 776 of the family's 1533-position model. Lineage: Bacteria; Bacillati; Bacillota; Bacilli; Lactobacillales; Streptococcaceae. The record is from RNAcentral.